Ribosomal RNA from Erinaceus europaeus (western European hedgehog), 121 nucleotides. The record is from Ensembl. Lineage: Eukaryota; Metazoa; Chordata; Mammalia; Eulipotyphla; Erinaceidae.
GUCUAUGGCUAUACCACCCUGAACUCGCCUGAUCUCAUCUGUUCUAGGAAGAUAAACAGGGUAGGGCCUGGUUAGUACUUGGAUGGAGGCCUUUAAGAAUAUACAAGAUUUCUAAUAGUUU